AGGGCGCAUGGCGGAUGCCUUGGCGUCGGCAGGCGAUGAAGGACGCGGCAAGCUGCGAUAAGCCCCGGGGAGCGGCAGGCGCGCUUUGAUCCGGGGAUUUCCGAAUGGGGCAACCCGCGCACCGUCACUGGUGCGCAUCCCCGCCCGAACACAUAGGGCGGGCGAAGCUACACCCGGGGAAGUGAAACAUCUCAGUACCCGGAGGAACAGACAUCAACCGAGAUUCCCCAAGUAGCGGCGAGCGAACGGGGAUCAGCCUAAACCGGGGCGCUCGCGCCCCGGGGUUGCGGGACCCGCGCAAGGGAACGGAACGGGCCAGGGGAAGCCUCUGGAACGCCGCGCGAUACAGGGUGAGAGCCCCGUACCCGAAGGCCCCGACCGUCCCGCGGGAAUCCCAAGUAGGCCGGAACACGUGAAACUCCGGCCGAAUCCGGGGGGACCACCCUCCAAGGCUAAAUACUCGCCGACGACCGAUAGCGAACCAGUACCGCGAGGGAAAGGUGAAAAGAACCCCGUCUAGGGGAGUGAAACAGAACCUGAAACCAUGCGUCCACAAACUGUCGGAGCCCCUCGGGGCCACGGCAUGCCUUUUGCAUAAUGAGCCUGCGAGUUGCUUCUCACCAGCAAGGUUAAGCCAGUGGCGGAGCCGAAGCGAAAGCGAGUGCGAACAGCGCGUCUAGUUGGUGGGAGCAGACCCGAAGCUGGGUGAUCUAUCCAUGGCCAGGCCGAACCCUCCGUAACAGGAGGUGGAGGGCCGAACCAGUUCGUGUUGAAAAACGUUUGGAUGAGCUGUGGAUAGGGGUGAAAGGCCAAUCAAACCCAGUGAUAGCUGGUUCUCUCCGAAAUAGCUUUAGGGCUAGCGUCGCGCCAUAGCGCGCGGGGGUAGAGCACCGAUUGUUCGCGGGCCCUCACCGGGGUACCAACAACUGUCGAACUCCGAAUACCGCGCCGCCGUACCGCGGCAGUCAGACUGUGGGGGAUAAGCUUCAUAGUCGAAAGGGAAACAGCCCAGACCGCCGGCUAAGGCCCCCAAUCCGGCCCGAGUGGGUUUAAGGAUGUGGAGCCGCACAGACAGCCAGGAUGUUGGCUUAGAGGCAGCCAUCAUUUAAAGAGUGCGUAAUAGCUCACUGGUCGAGUGGUUCCGCGCCGCAAAUGAUCGGGACUAAGGCCGGAGCCGAAGCCGCGGAUGCCCCUCCGGGGGCAUGGUAGGAGAGCGUCGCAUGGGGGGCGAAGCCGUCCCGGAAGGGGCGGUGGACUCCAUGCGAGCGAUCAUGCAGGCAUGAGUAACGAGAAGGCGGGUGAGAAUCCCGCCCACCGAAAGUCCAAGGUUUCCUGGGCCAGGCUCGUCCUCCCAGGGUUAGUCGGAUCCUAAGGCGAGGCCGAAAGGCGUAGUCGAUGGACAACGGGUUAAUAUUCCCGUACUUCUCCGCCGGAGCGACGCGGGGACGCGGGACGCUAGGCCGGCCGCCGACUGGUAGUGGCGGUCCAAGCGGGCAGGGCGGACGGCAGGAAAAUCCGCCGUCCACAAGCCCGAGACGCGACGGGGACGGCGCCCACGGGCGCCGGAAGCGGCCGACGCGACACCGACGAGAAAAGCCGCUAAGCGGCGAUGGCGGAGGAUCCGUACCGCAAACCGACACAGGUGGACAAGGCGAGUAGCCUAAGGUGCGCGAGAGAAACCACGUUAAGGAACUCGGCAAACUAACCCCGUAACUUCGGGAGAAGGGGUGCCUCUGGCGGUGACGGGACUCGCUCCCCGAGCCGCCGGGGGCCGCAGCUAAGAGGCCCAGGCGACUGUUUAGCAAAAACACAGCACUCUGCCAACUCGCAAGAGGAAGUAUAGGGUGUGACACGUGACCAAUGCCGAAAGCUCAAGCGGACGGGUCAGCCGCAAGGCGAAGCUCGAAGGCGAAGGCCCGGUGAAUGUCGGCCGUAACUAUAACGGUCCUAAGGUAGCGAAAUUCCUUGUCGGGUAAGUUCCGACCUGCACGAAUCGUGUAACGAUCUGGGCGCUGUCUCAACGUGGUUCUCGGUGAAAUUGUAGUUCCGGUGAAAAUGCCGGAUACCCGCGGCAGGACGGAAAGACCCCGUGAACCUUUACUGUAGUCUGAUAUUGGCAUCCGGCCGUGCAUGUGUAGCAUAGGCGGGAGGCGUCGAAGCGGCCUCGUCAGGGGCCGCGGAGCCACCGGUGAAAUACCGCCCUUGGGCGGUUGAAUGUCUAACCCCGAUCCCGUGCAUCCGGGCGGGGGACAGUGUCAGAGGGUCAGUUUGACUGGGGCGGUUUCCUCCCAAAGCGUAACGGAGGAGCUCGAAGGUCGGCUCACCGCGGUUGGCAAUCGCGGGCAGAGCGCAAGGGUACAAGCCGGCCUUACUGCGAGACCGACGGGUCGAGCAGUCGCGAAAGCGGGACCUAGUGAUCCAGCGGUAGCGUGUGGAAGUGCCGUUGCUCAUCGGACAAAAGGUACUCCGGGGAUAACAGGCUGAUCGCGCCCAAGCGUCCAUAGCGACGGCGCGGUUUGGCACCUCGAUGUCGGCUCAUCACAUCCUGGGGCUGAAGAAGGUCCCAAGGGUUCGGCUGUUCGCCGAUUAAAGUGGUACGCGAGCUGGGUUCAGAACGUCGUGAGACAGUUCGGUCCUUAUCCGCCGCGGGCGUUGGAGAAUUGACGGGAGCACUCCCUAGUACGAGAGGACCGGGAGUGAGCGACCCCUGGUGUUCCGGUUGUCGCGCCAGCGGCAGCGCCGGGUAGCUAUGUCGCGAAAGGAUAAGCGCUGAAGGCAUCUAAGCGCCAAGCCCCCCCGAAGACGAGUUCU
Molecule: ribosomal RNA, 2811 nt
Filed under: Victivallales bacterium Lenti_02
Lineage: Bacteria; Pseudomonadati; Lentisphaerota; Lentisphaeria; Victivallales
Description: bacterial LSU rRNA
Rfam family: Bacterial large subunit ribosomal RNA
Source: RNAcentral